This 72-nucleotide transfer RNA is filed under the name Camelus bactrianus (Bactrian camel). It matches the Rfam family "tRNA". Rfam says of the family: Transfer RNA (tRNA) molecules are approximately 80 nucleotides in length. Their secondary structure includes four short double-helical elements and three loops (D, anti-codon, and T loops). The record is from Rfam by way of RNAcentral. Lineage: Eukaryota; Metazoa; Chordata; Mammalia; Artiodactyla; Camelidae. RNAcentral also lists the same sequence under 2 other names.
GAGGGUAUAGCUCAGUGGUAGAGUGCCUGCUUAGCAUGCAUGAGGUGCUGGGUUCAAUCCCCAGUACCUCCA